AUUUUAUAUCAGUGUUGCACUAUAUUCUUUUCAAUUUUUUUUUUGCAUGGGUCUUCCAAACGAGACAAAUGCCGAGUUCCCUGGAAUCUUUAAUACAUUGAUGAGCUCUAACUAUUUGAAAUAUUGGAAGUGCAACCUUGAACUUUGGAGAUUUUAAAUGUUUUUAACUUUAUCAUCCAAUGAGUUCUUUUUUCCGUUUUUGUAUUUUUAG
Non-coding RNA from Pelobates cultripes (western spadefoot toad), 211 nucleotides. NCBI's taxonomy places the organism in Eukaryota, Metazoa, Chordata, Amphibia, Anura, Pelobatidae. The record is from the annotation of a GenBank genome assembly.